RNAcentral lists this ribosomal RNA (468 nucleotides) under uncultured bacterium. RNAcentral describes it as "partial 16S ribosomal RNA". It matches the Rfam family "Bacterial small subunit ribosomal RNA", at positions 28 to 507 of the family's 1533-position model. The record is from RNAcentral.
GACGAACGCUGGCAGCGUGCUUAACACAUGCAAGUCGAACGGAAAGGCCCUGCUUUUGUGGGGUGCUCGAGUGGCGAACGGGUGAGUAACACGUGAGUAACCUGCCCUUGACUUUGGGAUAACUUCAGGAAACUGGGGCUAAUACCGGAUAGGAGCUCCUGCUGCAUGGUGGGGGUUGGAAAGUUUCGGCGGUUGGGGAUGGACUCGCGGCUUAUCAGCUUGUUGGUGGGGUAGUGGCUUACCAAGGCUUUGACGGGUAGCCGGCCUGAGAGGGUGACCGGCCACAUUGGGACUGAGAUACGGCCCAGACUCCUACGGGAGGCAGCAGUGGGGAAUAUUGCACAAUGGGCGGAAGCCUGAUGCAGCAACGCCGCGUGCGGGAUGACGGCCUUCGGGUUGUAAACCGCUUUCGCCUGUGACGAAGCGUGAGUGACGGUAAUGGGUAAAGAAGCACCGGCUAACUACGUG